RNAcentral lists this ribosomal RNA (529 nucleotides) under uncultured bacterium. Its description in RNAcentral is "bacterial SSU rRNA". It matches the Rfam family "Bacterial small subunit ribosomal RNA", at positions 777 to 1305 of the family's 1533-position model. The record is from RNAcentral.
AAUAGAUACCCUGGUAGUCCACGCCGUAAACGGUGGGCACUAGGUGUGGGCGACAUUCCACGUCGUCCGUGCCGCAGCUAACGCAUUAAGUGCCCCGCCUGGGGAGUACGGCCGCAAGGCUAAAACUCAAAGGAAUUGAUGGGGGCCCGCACAAGCGGCGGAGCAUGUGGAUUAAUUCGAUGCAACGCGAAGAACCUUACCUGGGUUUGACAUGCACCAGACAUCCCUAGAGAUAGGGCUUCCCUUGUGGUUGGUGUGCAGGUGGUGCAUGGCUGUCGUCAGCUCGUGUCGUGAGAUGUUGGGUUAAGUCCCGCAACGAGCGCAACCCUCGUUCCAUGUUGCCAGCGCGUAAUGGCGGGGACUCAUGGGGAGACUGCCGGGGUCAACUCGGAGGAAGGUGGGGAUGACGUCAAGUCAUCAUGCCCCUUAUGUCCAGGGCUUCACACAUGCUACAAUGGCCGGUACAGAGGGUUGCGAGACCGUGAGGUGAGCGAAUCCCUUAAAGCCGGUCCCAGUUCGGAUCGGGGUC